Molecule: non-coding RNA, 92 nt
Filed under: Polaromonas sp. CG9_12
Lineage: Bacteria; Pseudomonadati; Pseudomonadota; Betaproteobacteria; Burkholderiales; Comamonadaceae
Also listed under: 1 other name
Description: SAH (S-adenosyl-L-homocysteine) riboswitch aptamer
Rfam family: SAH (S-adenosyl-L-homocysteine) riboswitch aptamer
Source: Rfam by way of RNAcentral
UAACUCAAGGAGCGUUGCAGCGAAACAUCGUUUCGUCAGGCUUGGGUAAGCAGGGUGCAAAACGCCCUAUUUGGCAACGACGCUCACCUUUG